GCCUACGGGGGGCAGCAGUAGGGAAUCUUCCACAAUGGGCGAAAGCCUGAUGGAGCAACGCCGCGUGGGUGAAGAAGGUCUUCGGAUCGUAAAACCCUGUUGUUAGAGAAGAAAGUGCGUGAGAGUAACUGUUCACGUUUCGACGGUAUCUAACCAGAAAGCCACGGCUAACUACGUGCCAGCAGCAGCGGUAAUACGUAGGUGGCAAGCGUUAUCCGGAUUUAUUGGGCGUAAAGGGAACGCAGGCGGUCUUUUAAGUCUGAUGUGAAAGCCUUCGGCUUAACCGGAGUAGUGCAUUGGAAACG
RNAcentral lists this ribosomal RNA (305 nucleotides) under uncultured bacterium. RNAcentral describes it as "bacterial SSU rRNA". It matches the Rfam family "Bacterial small subunit ribosomal RNA", at positions 337 to 634 of the family's 1533-position model. The record is from RNAcentral.